RNA transcript from Lagopus muta (rock ptarmigan), 3746 nucleotides. It is a transcript of the gene named ERCC excision repair 5, endonuclease, with no coding region annotated. Lineage: Eukaryota; Metazoa; Chordata; Aves; Galliformes; Phasianidae. The record is from RefSeq and is a predicted model, not a curated record. The transcript has 18 exons.
CAGCGCGGUAGGGCGGUGAGCACGCAUGCGCACUCCGCAGAGGGAGGCCGGGAGACUGUGUGGGGGUUUCUCGGCUUGGAUCGUGUUCCCCUCUCGCGUCGGACUCCGCCCCCAGACUCUUCCUGCGCCGCCAGAUAGCUAAGAAAGGACAAUGGGAGUUCAAGGGCUUUGGAAACUGCUGGAGUGCACUGGAAGACCUAUAAACCCACAAAUACUGGAAGGAAAAAUUCUUGCUGUUGAUAUCAGUAUUUGGUUGAACCAGGCAAUAAAGGGAGUCAGAGAUCGUCAUGGUAAUACUAUACAAAAUGCUCAUCUCCUCACUCUUUUUAAUCGACUCUGCAAGUUGCUGUUCUUUCGAAUUCGGCCUGUCUUUGUUUUUGAUGGGGAGGCACCACUUCUGAAGAGACAGACCUUGGCAAAGCGAAGGCACAGAAAAGAAUUGGCCGUCAGUGAUUCCAGGAAAACUGCAGAGAAACUCCUGAAAACAUUUCUGAAGAGACAAGCUAUCAAAGCUGCUCUUUCUGGCAAAAGCAAUGAAGUUUAUCCCAGUAUUUCACAAGUUCGAAGAGAAGAAAUUGAUGAUAUUUAUGUACUGCCCUCUUUAGAGGAUGAAGAGAAAAACAGCUCAGAGGAGGAAGAAGAAAAAGAAUGGGAAAUAAGAAUGACCCAGAAAAAGCUACUGCAGGAACAAUUAUUUGAAAACCCUCAUGCUAUAGAUAUAGAUUCAGAAGAUUUUAACAAGCUGCCUCCGGAAGUAAAGCAUGAGAUCUUGUCUGAUAUGAAGGAACUUACUAAACGAAACAGAACAUUAUUUGAAGCAAUGCCAGAGGACUCCAGUGACUUUUCCCAGUACCAGCUUAGGGGUUUGCUUAAGAAGAGUCACCUCAGUCGGUGCAUAGAAAAUGUACAAAAAGAGUUGAAUCAGCAGCACUCGGGUCAAAUCCAAACACAAUAUGACAAUGAAGGUGGUUUUGUGAAAGAAAUGGAAUCUAGGAGGAUAAUCUCUGAAGACUCUUCUCACUAUAUCUUAAUAAAAGGUUUUCAAGCAAAAGAAGAUGCUAGUAAAGACUUGGAAGCUACUGCAGGACCCUCAUCAGAAAGGUCUGAAUUGAAUAAAAUAAAUGAAUCUCCAGCUAAUGCAGAGUUAAUUGCAUCUGACAAGUUGCAGACAGACAAAGAUAACAGCGUAGUCACAGCACCACCCUCUCCCCAAACAUUGCUUGCUAUCCAGGCAGCAAUGGUGGAAAGCAGCUCAGAAGAAGAACUGGGAAAUGAAGAUAAAGAACGACUAAACCUGACUCAGUCUGUAAUGGAAGAAGGCAGUGUGUCUCCAAGAACACUGCGGGCAAUUCAGCAUGCUCUGAAUGAUGAUGAUGAAAAGGAAGAAGUUGUUACUGUUAGAGCUGAUAGAGUGCAAACAGAAAGGUCAAAAGCGAAGGAUUUUCUUCUUAGUAGCUCAGAUGAGGAAGAUCAGAUUCCUGAAGUGAAAGAGGAUAAAGAAAUACUUAUAUCUACAAUUCAUUCAUCAAACCAAGCAAUUGUGCAGGAUAUUGAAUUUGAACAAAAGAGUCAGGAGUUGGGAAAAAAUUGUAUUACACCCAAGGGCACCAGUAUGUCCACAGAUAAAAAUUACUCUUGUGUUGAUGAUACUGAAAAAGGGAAAGAAGUUGUAGACACAGAAUUAAAUGGUUCAAAAACAGACUCAACCUAUUUGGAAGACAAGGAUGUGAACUUGUGCAUUCAGAAGCCAAGCUGUUCCUCUUCACAAGCUAGUACAGGGCCUUUGGUUCACAGUGAAACAGCAGGAUUUUCUAAAACCGAGGAAAACUUGAAAAUCUGUGAAAUUACAGAGGAAGUUCAUUCACAAACAGAAGAGAGUGUGUCUGAGGUACAAAAGGAAACUGAAAUUCUUCCACCAACAGAUGGUCCUAAGGAGGGAAGAGAAGGGACAUUACAGUCUGAAGACAGUGAUUCUGAUGGAAGCUUCAUUGAAGUGGAUGAUGUGAUCAGUAACGAGGAUGAAUUUUCUACUGAAUAUGAUGAGAGACUGGGUGAUAAAACAGCACUUUCGGAAAGGGAGGAAGAUGGACAUGAUAUAGUCACACAGAACUUGCUGAAUGAUUCUGAUGAAGUGCAACUGGCAAGCAGUCAGAAUGCUGAAAAAGAAGAUAAUAUUAGAGAUGCAGGAGAUGAGUGGCAAGACAUCAGUUUGGAAGAUCUAGAAGAAUUAGAAAAUGACCUUUCUGCUGAACAGGAAAUGCUUCAGUCUCAAAAACAACAGCAGGAGCGUGUUGCUUCUUCUGUAACGGGGCAAAUGUUCUUGGAAAGCCAGGAGCUUCUCCGCCUAUUCGGCAUUCCGUACAUUGAAGCUCCUAUGGAAGCAGAGGCACAGUGUGCUGUAUUGGACCUCACUGAUCAGACCUCUGGAACAAUCACUGAUGAUAGUGAUGUUUGGUUAUUUGGUGCACGGCAUGUUUAUAAAAAUUUCUUCAGUCAAAACAAAUAUGUGGAAUAUUACCAGUAUGUUGAUUUUCAAAACCAGCUGGGGUUAGAUCGAAACAAGUUAAUUAAUUUGGCAUACUUGCUUGGAAGUGACUACACUGAGGGAAUCCCAAAUGUUGGCUUUGUAACAGCGAUGGAGAUCUUAAAUGAAUUUCCUGGACAUGGAUUGGAACCUCUUCUAAAAUUUGCUGAGUGGUGGAACGAGGCUCAGAAGAAUAAGAAAAUCAGACCUAAUCCACGUGAUACCAAAGUCAAGAAGAAAUUGCGGGAGCUGCAGCUUUCUUCAGGUUUCCCAAAUCCAGCAGUGGCAGAAGCAUACCUGAAGCCUGUGGUGGAUGAGACAAGGGGCUCAUUCACGUGGGGAAAGCCUGAUGUAGAGCAGAUUAGAGAAUUCUGUAAAGAUCACUUUGGCUGGACUAGGGCAAAGACAGAUGACAUCCUUUUGCCUGUGAUAAAACAGCUGAACUUGCAACAGACUCAGCUUCGAAUUGAUUCAUUCUUCAGAUUAGAACAACAUGAAAAACAAGCUAUUAAAAGUCAGAGACUACGCAGAGCUGUGAGUUGUCUAAAGAGAAAGGAAAAUGAUGAAGUUUCAGAGGCUACUGCUGCUAUGGAGGAAGAACUUAGUCAGCACAAGGAAAAGAAAGGGGAAAGUGCUUCAGGCUGCACAGAUCAUCAAGGCAUAGUGACAGAAGUUCAAACUGGAAAGAAAAGAAAGCAUUCAGAUUCCAGAAAAGUGCAUUUAUUUGGAGGUGGUUUUGUUGGGAGUUUGCAUCUUUCAGAAACUUCUAGUGACUCCUCAGCAGAAGAAUCAGAAAAAAGAGAUUUAGACAAAAGAAGGAAAAUUGCCUCUAAAACAGAGACAGCAGACCACAAAAAGAGCUACAGUAGCUCAAGUGGUGAGGAUGAAGAACUGGGAAACAUGAUUUUGGUGACUGCCAAACCUGUAUUUAAGGGCAGAAAACAAAAAUCACGGAGUAUGGGAGGAAGAAAGAAGAGGAGGUCUUAAAGGAAAGAAGUCAUAAAAAAGCAGACUAUGUAAAUGGGCUUUAUUACUUAAACUCUCUAACUGCGAAGCAAACAAUUUGACAAACAAGGAUUUUUGUUGAGUGUGGUCAUCGGGAAGAUAGAAGCAGAGAUUUAGGCUAAAUCAAACUACAUGAGCUGGUACAAUUUUUCUUUUCCUUCAGAAAUUAGCUGCUACCUUCCCAUUCAAAUAAUCGUAAGCCUUCUAAUCUUGAUUU